UAUCAGCUCCACGGAAGAAAGGUCGCCUCCUUCUUCUCCUGCGACCUUGACGUAGAGCUGAUCGUAAAUCUCCCCUUCUCUUCCAUCCAUGGAAAGGAACGGGAAGGUCUUGCGCUCGACGCUGUUUCUGGAUCAGGUCGGCGAGGUUGUCGUCACCCUUGAUCCCUACGGCUUGUCCUGGAAACUCCUCCACCGGGGUUCAGUUGUAUCUUCGUGCUUGUGCAUGAAACGUCAUUCAAAGAUUGAAACCGAGAUCAAAUUUUCAAAUGUCUAUGCUGUAGAGUUAAUUGAUCGAGGCUUGAUUCAUGACCCUGCCUGGAAUUCUGGCGGGUUUCUUUUGGGCAGAAGCUCCGAGAUGUACCGGUUUGUGGUGCAUGGAUUCCAUAAACCCAAAACAUGCCGUUCUCCUUGGGUUCUUUCUGAGUACACUUUCGGGCACGAGGAUUUGCAGAAAUGCCAAAUGUGGGUGGAAGAUAUAAAUGCUUAUAUAAAAGAUGGAGCGGGAAGGCCAAAGAGUCUUUUGGUCUUUGUACAUCCACUAUGUGGGAAAGGAAAAGGAAACAAAACUUGGGAAAUGGUUGCUCCUAUAUUUUCCCGUGCUAAAGUACAAACAAAGGUGACAGUGACUAAGAGGGCAGGGCAUGCAUUUGAUAUAAUAUCAUCUUUAUCAGACAGAGAACUUAGUUCUUUUGAUGGCAUUGUUGCUGUGGGGGGUGAUGGUCUCUUUAAUGAAGUUCUGAAUGGCAUUCUUUCCUCAAGGCACAAGGCUCCUUAUCCACCAGCUCCAACAGAGUUUAGUUAUUCUGUAAAUGAUGAAAAGGACCAAAUUUUUGGAAAUAAUAGCAAUAAUAAUGGUAGAGCCUAUUAUAACGACAAAAAUGGCUCGUCUACUGAGACUUCUUCUAAAAGUGAUGAUCAUGAACCUCUUCUCUUAACUUCAGAAUCUAAUGGACUGGGCAUCUCAAAAUUCACAAAUAAAUGUGGACCGUGUAACACAGAUCAAAAUCCUGUAAUUUCCUUCCCAAAUGAUUGGUUUAGACUUGGAAUAAUUCCAGCCGGCUCAACUGAUGCUAUUGUGAUCAGUACUACUGGCAUGCGAGAUCCUGUAACAUCUGCUUUGCACAUUAUCCUUGGCAAGAGGAUAUCACUUGAUAUAGCUCAGGUGGUCAGAUGGAAAACUAGCCCUUCAUCCAUGGAUUUGCCUUACGUACGCUAUGCAGCUUCUUUUGCAGGGUAUGGAUUUUAUGGAGAUGUCAUUAAGGAGAGUGAAAAAUAUCGUUGGAUGGGCCCUGUACGUUAUGAUAUUGCUGGGACAAAGGUGUUUCUGGAACACAGAUCAUAUGAGGCGGAAAUAGCUUUUCUGGAAACUGGAAAAUUUGACCCACUGACUGGCAUAACACAUACUGGAGGAAAUAAAACACAAUCAUCACAACUUUCUCGACAAAAUUCUAACAGAGUGAUUUGCCGUAUGAACUGCGCUGUCUGUAAUGAGCCUAAAAAUUCUGCUCAGUUUCCUUCAAAUAGAGCCAUCACUAGCCCCAAUAUUCAUUCUGAGAAUUCAAGAUGGCUGCAAUCUAAGGGACGCUUCCUUAGUGUUGGGGCGGCAAUUAUUUCAUGUCGUAAUGAAAGAGCUCCUGAUGGUUUGGUGGCUGAUGCACACCUUGCUGAUGGCUUUCUUCAUCUUAUACUUGUCAAAGAUUGUCCUCGUCCAUACUACUUAUGGCAUCUUACUCGGCUUACAAGGAGCGGGUCGGACCCUCUAAAUUUUGAUUUUGUGGAACAUCAUAAAACACCUGCAUUUACCUUUGUUUCAUCACAUGAUGAAAGUGUCUGGAACUUGGACGGCGAGAUCCUUCAAGCAUGCCAAGUCUCUGUACAAGUAUGCCGAGGUCUCAUCAACUUAUUUGCAUCAGGACCUGAAGUUUAACAAUAUUCUCCAAGCUGAUCCAUGUGUUCCUGAAAAAGGAAGAAUCAUAUGAGCUGAAUUGAAUAUCUUAGAUUACUUUGCAGUUUUCCAUGUGAUGUAUUACAAGGCCCGUGGAUAUGCCACAUUGUCAUUAGAGAGUGAUGGAUGAUCCCUGCAUUGCUUCUGAUGGGUAUACAUACAACUGAAAUGCGUUUGAGACCUGGCUCAGGAGAAAUGACAAGUCUCGAAUGUCAAAUUUACCAUUGCCCAAUAAAGAUUUGAUGCCUAACCAGUCUCUUCUUUCUGCAAUCAAGGACUGGAAGUCCCCAGAACUGAAUGACCUGCAAAGCUGUCCCAGAAGGUCAUUGUUAUAGUUCACCUAAUCAGGAGAACCUCACCUGCAUGCAAUAAUGGUAGAGAUCCCACAAGCCUGUUUUGGCAUCAUUGGAAGGGCAUUGACCAUGUUCAUUGGGACUUUGAAAUGCUAGUUGUUUCAGGAUAGUGUAUAUGCAACAUUUACAGUGAAACAAGUUUAAAAUAGUAGAACAGAAUAGAAAGGUUCAAAGUAGAGCAAUAUCUGACAUGCCAAACAAAUUUUUGUUUCUGUGAAACAGCUCUUUUUUCAGAAGGCAAGGUGUCUUUCGGGCAGUUUCAUUCA
Non-coding RNA from Phoenix dactylifera (date palm), 2564 nucleotides. The record is from RefSeq and is a predicted model, not a curated record. NCBI's taxonomy places the organism in Eukaryota, Viridiplantae, Streptophyta, Magnoliopsida, Arecales, Arecaceae.